Homo sapiens (human) is the source of this 5667-nucleotide long non-coding RNA. Ensembl annotates it as GOT1 divergent transcript. Its record names the gene GOT1-DT. The record is from Ensembl. NCBI's taxonomy places the organism in Eukaryota, Metazoa, Chordata, Mammalia, Primates, Hominidae.
AGGACGUGCAGCUCCGGAGCCUGCGCGGGCGACCUUGACCACCUUUGUCGGCUGUUUCCCCCUGAGGGAAGUAUACCUGUCCUGCCAGCCUUGGUCUCUGGCAGGGAAGGUCCUUCCAACAGAGAGGGGUGCGCACGAAUUCCUUUUUGCCGCUCUUCUAUUAAUAGUUUGAGAUUUUCCUCCCCGAUUCCUUGCAGAGAGGGCCUGGUCCUCAAGGACCUCGGGAUCUGGGCGCGACGUCCCUUCCCAGCUUCCUCCCGCGCGCACCGGACCAGAUCUUGCUGUCGUCAGCUGGCUGGUACCCAAAGUUCCUCUUCGUCAGGCUGUUCCUUCCCCGUUAGAGUCCUUCCUCCCCAGGAGCCCUCUCCAUCUGCUGACCUUCAAGACCCAGAGCGAAUGCCACUUCAUCCAUGAAGCCUUCCCUUAACCCUUAUCUGGCCAAAAUGUCUCUUUCCUGUGCUUCUGUACUUUCACAAUUUUAGAAAAUGCCUUUGUGGUUAAAAACCUAUCUCCGGGACCGGACUAUCUAGGUUUAGAUUCUGGCUGCCGCUUACGAAUUUGGGCAGGUUUAGUCAAGUUAUUUUAACCUCUCUGUGGAAGUUCCUGCUCUGUGGAAAUAAUAGUAUUUUCCUCAGAGUUGGUGUGGGGAGUUUGUGAGUUAAUACAUUUACGAAGUGGUUAGUUGCAUGUAAGAAGGACUCUCUAAAUGUCAGCUAUUAUUAACAUUGCAUAUCUGCCACACCCUUCAUAGAUGGUAAACUGCUUUUUUUUUUUUUUUUACUUUUAUUUUAGGUUCGGGAUACAUGCACAGGUUUGUUUUAUAGAUAAAUUGCUUGUCAUGUGGGUUUGUUGUACAAAUUAUUUUGUCACCCAGAUAGUAAGCAUAGUACUUGACAGGUAUUUUUUCUGAUCCUCUCCCUCCUCCCACCCUCUAGCCUCAAGUAGGUCCCAGUGUCUGUUGUUCUCUUCUUUGUGUCCAUGUGUUCUCAAUGUUUAGCUCCCACUUACAAGUCAGAACAUGCAGUAUUUGGUUUUCUCUUCCGCAUUAGUUCACUUAGGAUAAAGGCCUCCAGCUCCAUCCAUGUUGCUACAAAGGACAUGAUCUCUUUCUUUUUUAUGGCUGCAUAGUAGUCCAUGGUGUAUAUGUACCGUAUUUUCUUCAGUCUACUGGUGAUGGGCAUUUAGGUUGAUGCCAUGUCUUUACGAUUGUGAAUAGUGCUGCAGUGAACAUACAUGUACAUAUAUCUUUAUGGUAGAAUGAUUUAUAUUCUUUUGGGUAUAGACCCAAUACUGGGAUUGUUGGGUCGAAUGGUAAUUCUGUUUUAAGUUCUUUGAGAAAUCGCCACACUGCUUUCCGCGGUUACUGAACUAAUUUACAUUCCCACCAGCAUUGUAUAAGCAUUCCCUUUUCUCCACAACCUCACCAGAAACCAGCAUCUGUUAUUUCUUGACUUUUAUUAAUAGCCAUUCUGACUGGUGUGAGAUGAUAUCUCAUUGUAGUUUUGAUUUGGGUUUCUCUAGUGAUUAGUGAUGUUGAGUAUUUUAUAUGCUUGUUGGCCAUGUAGCUUCUUUUGGCUAGGGACCUGUGAGUCUCCCUAGGUUUCUUGCACUUACUAAGCCUUCAACAAAUGGUAGAAGAGUCAAUUCUCUUGGUGUUUCAGAAGAAAACAAUAUCACAGCCCCUCUCCACUGGAUAAUACUAUAAAUCUUAAAAUGAAUUUUCAUUCAGAGUAAUAAACACAAGCCAAAGAACUUUGUAUAACAUCCGUCAACUUUUUGUGUUAUCUAUUUCUUUUCCAAAACAUUGCCUCUGGUUUUAAAGGUAACUGCCCACAGUGUUUCACUAAUAACAUUUUAAGCAUUACAAGUUCAACACUGAAGGUCAAAUGACAACGAACUUUCAGUGCUUCCAAAAGCAGGGGCAGAGGGCAACUGCUGAGGGGGGCAUUGUAUAGCCUAACCUUCCCAGAAUUUGAUUUAAAAGUAUGAUCUUCACAGCGUUGGCCAGCAAUAUCAUGGUCACUCCCUACGUCAUUCCCUGGGAGAAAAACAACCCUAGGUUACCUAAACAAUGUUGGCGAAGACCAAAUAUUUAUUAACAUCCUAAGCCGCCCCAUAAUCAAGCCAAUGCUGAUAGGGACAAAGAAGGUGCCAUGUGCAGUUUUUCUCCAUGUCCCCACAAUAUCUGCUCUGAAUUUUAAAAGGCAAUUACUGGGGGAGAAGGAAGCCUAUAUAUUAUGUAGGAUCCAAGUCUCAAACUGCUUUCCUAGGGAGUGUGAGGUUCUUGGAGAUUAAGUGCAGUACCUUUCUGUCUUGAGCCUUGUAGGCUGCCCCUCUAAUUUAAUGCCAGUCUUGAAAUAAACAGAAUGCUUUCCAAGUCAUCGCUAAUUUUAACACUUUAAAUUUAGAAUUGCUUAGAAUUGACUCAACACUGCCUCCUUGCUGAAUGGAUAAUUCAAGCAAACAACUCAAGAGCUGGAUGCUGCCCAGACAGGUAGGCAGCCAGAUAAAGUGAGUGUCCAGGGAAAGAGCAGUAAGGGUCAGAAGAGAAAGAGCCUGGUGUUCUCACUGCCUCCUGCCUUCCUUAUGACUGUCUGUUCAGAAGUCCUCCUAGCAUCUUUCUUCUGCCUUCCCCUGCUCCUGUCCCUGAAACCUUUUCUUCAAAAGAAGUGGAAAAGAGGAACUGGGAACCCAUAUAGCAACAGCAUCACCUGGAAUGAAUUCCUUUAGAACAUACUGUCUUGGAAAUCUGAAGCCUGCAGGGCUGGACAGGCAAGAAGAGCAGUGAGCACUGCAUGAACCUCACCCUUGAACUUCUAUAUGGUCUCCAAAGACAUGAUAAAUACAGAGAUUGCUCUCUCCUCUCAACUGCAACAGUAAUGAUUCCUUUGCAUUUUAAUUAAGUCUUUUACACAUGAAUAAGUCUUUAUCCUCAAAUGGACUAAAGACUCCUCGAGGACAAGAACUAUCCUUCAGUCCCAUACAUUGGUUACCUGGCAAAGGACCCUAAAUGCAGAUUAUGAAGUAGCUAUGGAAUUUGAAUGGGUUGAUUCUUCAGCUCCCAGAAAAAAACUUUGAUUGGUUUAACUGGCCACAGUAAUUGAUGUGGGAAUGAGGCCCUGACAUAAUUUCAACUUAGAAGACAUGUUCACUGGAAGUGAACUAGGAAGCAUGAAGUCUCAGACAUUCGACACUGAAAGAAUAAGCAGUCUUAGGAUGAAGGCAGUGCUAUGGACACCAGAACUCCAUGGUUCAGGCUGUUCAGCAUCAACUGUUCCUGACAGCCACCCUAACGUGCCUCCAGUUUCCUGGGCCAACAGAUGCCUGUCAUUGUUGAAGUUUCUUUGAGUUGGGUCUUCCGUUACUUACAAUUUAAAUCACCCUCACUGAUUACUAUGUACUUAAUUGUUCUCCUCCACUCUCUGCCAAUCCAUAUGCUGAAGCCUUAACCCCCAACGUGAUAGUAUUUGGAGACUGGAACUUUGGGAGAUAAUUAGAUUUAGAUGUGGUCAUGAGGAUGGGACCUUCAAGAUGAGAAUAGUAUCCUUAUAAAAAGUGGUACUAGAAAGCCUCUCUUUCUCUCUCUCUGCCACGUAAGAACACAGCAAGAAGGCAGCCAUCUGCAAGCCAGGAAGAGAGCCCUUACCAGAACUUGACCAUGCUGACACCCUGAUCUCAGAUGUGCAGCCUCCAGAACUGCAAAAAAGACACAUUUUCAUUGUUUAAGCUACCUAGUUUAUGGUAUUUUGUUACAGCAGCCCAAUCUGACUAAUACGCUGAUACAGGCAUAUUAGGGUACAUGCCACCAGCAGAGUGGUUCAACUGCAGGUCCACACUUACCCAGUGAAGGUGACUCAGCCUAGAGUGUGACUCAGUCUCUUCCCAACCCUGUCCGCAUCACCCCUGGAAGAGUCAGCUCCUCCCACAACUGCAGUCCUGACAGCAGCAUCAUGCCUCUGAAAUGAUCUUGCAAACAAGCUGUCAUUGGAGUGCUGAGAGAGUGGCAAUAUCAACUAAAAACAUGAAGAAGAAGAGCAACAAAGAGGAGGAAGAGGAGGAGAAGAGGGAAAGAAGUGAGGCGCUGUGGUGAAGAAUAGUACUUCUCAUCUCCACCAGAACAGCAGAGAACAAUGAAAGCACACCAUCAGGACGUCUCAGGGUACAGCCAGAAAAGCCAUUACCAUUUGUGCCAAUAUCUUUGAAAUCUUGUAUUUUGUCAUAAAAAGUUAUGCAGUUUCUGUAUUCUACUUCAUCAUGUGCCUUUAUAUUUUUUAUAUCAAAAUGUCUCCCUAAAAACCUUUGAGAAGGGCCAUUUUAUCUCAAAUCUUUGAAAUAAUUUCCUAGUCCCACCAUGCUUGCCCUGAGAUGUUCACACCCCAAUAUGAGAAGCACAUGUACAUCAGAAAGAGGACUGGACUUAGAGUUUUAAAUCUAAGUUCUUUUCCAAUACCAUGCUUUCCUAGUCUUGAUCUUGAAAAAUCACUCAUCAUCUUUAAGCUUCUCUUUCGUCAUGAGUGAAAGAAAGGAUGACACCAACACCUUCUCUCCCUUUCUCAUAGAAGCAUCAAGCUCCAAGUAGUUAAUGUGAGAAAAAGGACUUGGGAGAACAGGAAGCUCUGGCCUUUUUGUUGUGUAGGGUAUUUUCCCAAGAAUACUUUGGAAGUUUCCUUUAAUUUGUUCUUGGACUAACCUUUCCUAUUCACUCUGAUACCUUUUUGUUCAACCCUUGUAUCUGUGCAUGGAAGAGCACAGGAGGCAAAAAGAAUAAGGAUUUAUAGUCACUUGUCAAUAGGCGUGGAAGAGAAGUCAGAUUCUUAUUUAUUUGAGAUAAAGUCUAGCUCUGUUGCCAGGAUGGAGUGCAGUGGUGUGAUUUCUGCUCACUGCAACUUCCACCUCCUGGGUUCAAGUGAUUCUCCUGCCUUAGCCUCCCUAGUAGCUGAGAUUACAGGUGUGUACCACCACUCUCGGCUGAUUUUUGUAUUUUUAGUAGAGAUGGGGUUUCACCAUGUUGACCAAGCUGGUCUCGAACUCGUGACCUCAAAUGAUCCACCUACCUCGGCCUCCUAAAAUGCUAGGAUUACAGGCAUGAGCCACCGUGCUUGGCCAGAUUCUUAUUCUUGAGGUGACCUCUAUAUCCCUUCGUUCCCUUCAUGUCUGUAUCUUCCACCCUUAUCAUGGCAUCUCAAGUUUCCCUACUUAAGAGAAUCUGAGCCUGUAUCCCUCAUACUUGCCUUAUGGACAAAUCACCUGGGAUACAGGAAGGCAAGUGACUUCCAUCUGCAGUAACAGCUCUGGUUCAUUGGUUGCUUAGAACAUUACAUUGAGAAGAAUCACUCAAUGGGAAAGAAUAUAGAUGGGUUGGAGAUGUCUGCACAGACAGGGAAGUGAGAACAGCCACAUUUGUGGCAUCACUAGCUGUCCUUGGUUGACAGGCUCAAGAUGAGUCAACUCAGAAAAGUGUUGGACGGGCACGGUGGCUCAGGCCUGUAAUCCCAGCACUUUGGGAGGCCAAGGAGAGCAGAUCACUUGAGGUCAGGAGUUCGAGACCAGCCUGGCCAACAUGGUGAAAUCCUAUCUCUACUAAAAAUACAAAAAUUAGCUGCGCGUGAUGGCAACCUAUAAUCCCAGCUACUUGGGAGGCUGAGGCAGGAGAAUCGUAUGAACCUG